UCGAGAAUAGUCUACAAUGGUCGAAAGACUGAUAGUGCGACGCCGCGUGAACGAAGAAGCCCUUCGGGGUGUAAAGUUCUUUUAUAUGUGAGCAAUGCCAGAUAGGUGAAUAGUCUGUUUGGAGCGAUAUUAGCAUAUGAAUAAGCAACGGCUAACUCCGUGCCAGCAGCCGCGGUAACACGGGGGUUGCAAGCGUUGUCCGGAAUUACUAGGCGUAAAGGGCAGGUAGGCGGAUCUAUAAGUUUAAUGUUUAAGGCAACGGCUCACCCGUUGUACGGCAUAGGAUACUGUAUAUCUGGAAUGCGGUUGAGGAAGACAGAAUUCCUGGUGUAGCGGUGGAAUGCGCAGAGAUCAGGAGGAAUACCAAAGGCGAAGGCAGUCUUCUAAGCCGAUAUUGACGCUAAACUGCGAAGGUGUGGGUAUCAAACA
RNAcentral lists this ribosomal RNA (429 nucleotides) under uncultured prokaryote. RNAcentral's name for it is "bacterial SSU rRNA". It matches the Rfam family "Bacterial small subunit ribosomal RNA", at positions 355 to 774 of the family's 1533-position model. The record is from RNAcentral.